This 301-nucleotide ribosomal RNA is filed under the name uncultured bacterium. RNAcentral describes it as "partial 16S ribosomal RNA". It matches the Rfam family "Bacterial small subunit ribosomal RNA", at positions 509 to 808 of the family's 1533-position model. The record is from RNAcentral.
CAGCAGCCGCGGGAAUACGUAUGUCACAAGCGUUAUCCGGAUUUAUUGGGCGUAAAGCGCGUCUAGGUGGUUAUGUAAGUCUGAUGUGAAAACGCAGGGCUCAACUCUGUAUUGCGUUGGAAACUGUGUAACUAGAGUACUGGAGAGGUAAGCGGAACUACAAGUGUAGAGGUGAAAUUCGUAGAUAUUUGUAGGAAUGCCGAUGGGGAAGCCAGCUUACUGGACAGAUACUGACGCUCAUGCACGAAAGCGUGGGGAGCAAACAGGAUUAGAUACCCCUGUAGUCCCUGUCUCUUAUACC